AGGCGACGAUCAGUAGCCGGUCUGAGAGGAUGAACGGCCACAUUGGGACUGAGAUACGGCCCAGACUCCUACGGGAGGCAGCAGUGGGGAAUAUUGGGCAAUGGGGGAAACCCUGACCCAGCAACGCCGCGUGAAGGAAGAAGGCCUUCGGGUUGUAAACUUCUUUUACCAGGGACGAAAAACGUGACGGUACCUGGAGAAAAAGCAACGGCUAACUACGUGCCAGCAGCCGCGGUAAUACGUAGGUUGCAAGCGUUGUCCGGAUUUACUGGGUGUAAAGGGCGUGUAGGCGGAGAUGCAAGUUGGGAGUGAAAUCCAUGGGCUCAACCCAUGAACUGCUCUCAAAACUGUAUCCCUUGAGUAUCGGAGAGGCAAGCGGAAUUCCUAGUGUAGCGGUGAAAUGCGUAGAUAUUAGGAGGAACACCAGUGGCGAAGGCGGCUUGCUGGACGACAACUGACGCUGAGGCGCGAAAGCGUGGGGAGCAAACAGGAUUAGAUACCCUGGUAGUCCACGCUGUAAACGAUGAAUACUAGGUGUGGGAGGACUGACCCCUUCCGUGCCGCAGUUAACACAAUAAGUAUUCCACCUGGGGAGUA
RNAcentral lists this ribosomal RNA (597 nucleotides) under uncultured bacterium. RNAcentral describes it as "bacterial SSU rRNA". It matches the Rfam family "Bacterial small subunit ribosomal RNA", at positions 271 to 882 of the family's 1533-position model. The record is from RNAcentral.